Molecule: ribosomal RNA, 253 nt
Filed under: uncultured bacterium
Lineage: Bacteria
Description: partial 16S ribosomal RNA
Rfam family: Bacterial small subunit ribosomal RNA
Source: RNAcentral
UACGUAGGCAGCAAGCGUUGUUCGGAGUUACUGGGCGUAAAGAGUGCGUAGGUGGUGCCCUAAGUCUGUUGCGAAAUCUCCCGGCUUAACUGGGAGGGUGCGGUGGAAACUGGGGUGCUUGAGUGUGGGAGAGGUAAGCGGAAUUCCUGGUGUAGCGGUGAAAUGCGUAGAUAUCAGGAGGAACACCGGUGGUGUAGACGGCUUACUGGACCACGACUGACACUGAGGCACGAAAGCGUGGGUAGCAAACAGG